This 735-nucleotide ribosomal RNA is filed under the name uncultured marine bacterium. RNAcentral describes it as "bacterial SSU rRNA". It matches the Rfam family "Bacterial small subunit ribosomal RNA", at positions 49 to 779 of the family's 1533-position model. The record is from RNAcentral.
CUAUACAUGCAAGUCGAGGGAGAAGUUUUGUGCUUGCACAGAACAGAAACCGGCGAACGGGUGCGUAACACGUAUGCAACCUACCUAUAACUGGGGGAUAGCCCGAAGAAAUUCGGAUUAAUACCCUAUAAUAUUUACAUACCGCAUGGUAUGUAUUUUAAAACUCCGGUGGUUAUAGAUGGGCAUGCGGCUUAUUAGUUUGUUGGUGAGGUAACGGCUCACCAAGACUACGAUAAGUAGGGGGUCUGAGAGGAUGAUCCCCCACACUGGUACUGAGACACGGACCAGACUCCUACGGGAGGCAGCAGUAGGGAAUAUUGGACAAUGGACGAAAGUCUGAUCCAGCCAUGCCGCGUGCAGGAUGACGGCCCUAUGGGUUGUAAACUGCUUUUAUAUAGGAAGAAACCUUUCCACGUGUGGAAAGCUGACGGUACUAUACGAAUAAGGACCGGCUAACUCCGUGCCAGCAGCCGCGGUAAUACGGAGGGUCCAAGCGUUGUCCGGAUUUAUUGGGUUUAAAGGGUACGCAGGCGGGACUUUAAGUCAGUGGUGAAAGCCUCCAGCUUAACUGGAGAAUUGCCAUUGAAACUGAAGUUCUUAAGUAUGGAUGAGGUGGUUGGAAUAUAACAUGUAGCGGUGAAAUGCAUAGAUAUGUUAUAGAACACCAAUUGCGAAGGCAGAUCACUAAACCAUUACUGACGCUGAGGUACGAAAGCGUGGGGAGCGAACAGGAUU